AUUGAACGCUGGCGGAAUGCUUUACACAUGCAAGUCGAACGGCAGGCACGGGGCAACCUGGUGGCGAGUGGCGAACGGGUGAGUAAUACAUCGGAACGUGCCCAAUCGUGGGGGAUAACGUAGCGAAAGUUACGCUAAUACCGCAUACGAUCUACGGAUGAAAGCGGGGGAUCGCAAGACCUCGCGCGGACGGAGCGGCCGAUGGCAGAUUAGGUAGUUGGUGGGAUAAAAGCUUACCAAGCCGACGAUCUGUAGCUGGUCUGAGAGGACGACCAGCCACACUGGGACUGAGACACGGCCCAGACUCCUACGGGAGGCAGCAGUGGGGAAUUUUGGACAAUGGGGGAAACCCUGAUCCAGCCAUGCCGCGUGCAGGAUGAAGGCCUUCGGGUUGUAAACUGCUUUUGUACGGAACGAAAAGACUCUUUCUAAUACAGAGGGUCCAUGACGGUACCGUAAGAAUAAGCACCGGCUAACUACGUG
Molecule: ribosomal RNA, 483 nt
Filed under: uncultured bacterium
Lineage: Bacteria
Description: bacterial SSU rRNA
Rfam family: Bacterial small subunit ribosomal RNA
Source: RNAcentral